AGAGUUUGAUCCUGGCUCAGGAUGAACGCUGGCGGCGUGCCUAAUACAUGCAAGUCGAGCGAACGGACGAGAAGCUUGCUUCUCUGAUGUUAGCGGCGGACGGGUGAGUAACACGUGGAUAACCUACCUAUAAGACUGGGAUAACUUCGGGAAACCGGAGCUAAUACCGGAUAAUAUUUUGAACCGCAUGGUUCAAAAGUGAAAGACGGUCUUGCUGUCACUUAUAGAUGGAUCCGCGCUGCAUUAGCUAGUUGGUAAGGUAACGGCUUACCAAGGCAACGAUGCAUAGCCGACCUGAGAGGGUGAUCGGCCACACUGGAACUGAGACACGGUCCAGACUCCUACGGGAGGCAGCAGUAGGGAAUCUUCCGCAAUGGGCGAAAGCCUGACGGAGCAACGCCGCGUGAGUGAUGAAGGUCUUCGGAUCGUAAAACUCUGUUAUUAGGGAAGAACAUAUGUGUAAGUAACUGUGCACAUCUUGACGGUACCUAAUCAGAAAGCCACGGCUAACUACGUGCCAGCAGCCGCGGUAAUACGUAGGUGGCAAGCGUUAUCCGGAAUUAUUGGGCGUAAAGCGCGCGUAGGCGGUUUUUUAAGUCUGAUGUGAAAGCCCACGGCUCAACCGUGGAGGGUCAUUGGAAACUGGAAAACUUGAGUGCAGAAGAGGAAAGUGGAAUUCCAUGUGUAGCGGUGAAAUGCGCAGAGAUAUGGAGGAACACCAGUGGCGAAGGCGACUUUCUGGUCUGUAACUGACGCUGAUGUGCGAAAGCGUGGGGAUCAAACAGGAUUAGAUACCCUGGUAGUCCACGCCGUAAACGAUGAGUGCUAAGUGUUAGGGGGUUUCCGCCCCUUAGUGCUGCAGCUAACGCAUUAAGCACUCCGCCUGGGGAGUACGACCGCAAAGUUGAAACUCAAAGGAAUUGACGGGGACCCGCACAAGCGGUGGAGCAUGUGGUUUAAUUCGAAGCAACGCGAAGAACCUUACCAAAUCUUGACAUCCUUUGACAACUCUAGAGAUAGAGCCUUCCCCUUCGGGGGACAAAGUGACAGGUGGUGCAUGGUUGUCGUCAGCUCGUGUCGUGAGAUGUUGGGUUAAGUCCCGCAACGAGCGCAACCCUUAAGCUUAGUUGCCAUCAUUAAGUUGGGCACUCUAAGUUGACUGCCGGUGACAAACCGGAGGAAGGUGGGGAUGACGUCAAAUCAUCAUGCCCCUUAUGAUUUGGGCUACACACGUGCUACAAUGGACAAUACAAAGGGCAGCGAAACCGCGAGGUCAAGCAAAUCCCAUAAAGUUGUUCUCAGUUCGGAUUGUAGUCUGCAACUCGACUACAUGAAGCUGGAAUCGCUAGUAAUCGUAGAUCAGCAUGCUACGGUGAAUACGUUCCCGGGUCUUGUACACACCGCCCGUCACACCACGAGAGUUUGUAACACCCGAAGCCGGUGGAGUAACCUUUUAGGAGCUAGCCGUCGAAGGUGGGACAAAUGAUUGGGGUGAAGUCGUAACAAGGUAGCCGUAUCGGAAGGUGCGGCUGGAUCACCU
This 1540-nucleotide ribosomal RNA is filed under the name Staphylococcus aureus DAR3153. Its description in RNAcentral is "16S ribosomal RNA". It matches the Rfam family "Bacterial small subunit ribosomal RNA". The record is from RNAcentral. Lineage: Bacteria; Bacillati; Bacillota; Bacilli; Caryophanales; Staphylococcaceae.